RNAcentral lists this ribosomal RNA (164 nucleotides) under uncultured bacterium. Its description in RNAcentral is "partial 16S ribosomal RNA". It matches the Rfam family "Bacterial small subunit ribosomal RNA", at positions 355 to 511 of the family's 1533-position model. The record is from RNAcentral.
UAGGGAAUCUUCCACAAUGGACGCAAGUCUGAUGGAGCAACGCCGCGUGAGUGAAGAAGGGUUUCGGCUCGUAAAACUCUGUUGUUAAAGAAGAACAUAUCUGAGAGUAACUGUUCAGGUAUUGACGGUAUUUAACCAGAAAGCCACGGCUAACUACGCGCCAG